RNAcentral lists this ribosomal RNA (464 nucleotides) under Vreelandella stevensii. Its description in RNAcentral is "partial 16S ribosomal RNA". It matches the Rfam family "Bacterial small subunit ribosomal RNA", at positions 338 to 795 of the family's 1533-position model. Lineage: Bacteria; Pseudomonadati; Pseudomonadota; Gammaproteobacteria; Oceanospirillales; Halomonadaceae. The record is from RNAcentral.
CCUACGGGGGCUGCAGUGGGGAAUAUUGGACAAUGGGCGAAAGCCUGAUCCAGCCAUGCCGCGUGUGUGAAGAAGGCCUUCGGGUUGUAAAGCACUUUCAGUGGGGAAGAAAGCCUUGGGGCUAAUACCCUCGAGGAAGGACAUCACCCACAGAAGAAGCACCGGCUAACUCCGUGCCAGCAGCCGCGGUAAUACGGAGGGUGCGAGCGUUAAUCGGAAUUACUGGGCGUAAAGCGCGCGUAGGCGGUCUGAUAAGCCGGUUGUGAAAGCCCCGGGCUCAACCUGGGAACGGCAUCCGGAACUGUCAGGCUAGAGUGCAGGAGAGGAAGGUAGAAUUCCCGGUGUAGCGGUGAAAUGCGUAGAGAUCGGGAGGAAUACCAGUGGCGAAGGCGGCCUUCUGGACUGACACUGACGCUGAGGUGCGAAAGCGUGGGUAGCAAACAGGAUUAGAUACCCGAGUCGUC